GUACACUCCUGCGGGAGGCAGCAGUGGGGAAUUUUGGACAAUGGGCGAAAGCCUGAUCCAGCAAUGCCGCGUGAGUGAAGAAGGCCUUCGGGUUGUAAAGCUCUUUUGUCAGGGAAGAAACGGUGAAAGCUAAUAUCUUUUGCUAAUGACGGUACCUGAAGAAUAAGCACCGGCUAACUACGUGCCAGCAGCCGCGGUAAUACGUAGGGUGCAAGCGUUAAUCGGAAUUACUGGGCGUAAAGCGUGCGCAGGCGGUUUUGUAAGUCUGAUGUGAAAUCCCCGGGCUCAACCUGGGAAUUGCAUUGGAGACUGCAAGGCUAGAAUCUGGCAGAGGGGGGUAGAAUUCCACGUGUAGCAGUGAAAUGCGUAGAUAUGUGGAGGAACACCGAUGGCGAAGGCAGCCCCCUGGGUCAAGAUUGACGCUCAUGCACGAAAGCGUGGGGAGCAAACAGGAUUAGAAACCCCUGUAGUCCCAUGA
This 478-nucleotide ribosomal RNA is filed under the name uncultured organism. Its description in RNAcentral is "partial 16S ribosomal RNA". It matches the Rfam family "Bacterial small subunit ribosomal RNA", at positions 331 to 800 of the family's 1533-position model. The record is from RNAcentral.